This 293-nucleotide long non-coding RNA is filed under the name Nicotiana benthamiana. RNAcentral describes it as "long non-coding RNA (NBEN_LNC041056)". The record is from RNAcentral. Lineage: Eukaryota; Viridiplantae; Streptophyta; Magnoliopsida; Solanales; Solanaceae.
ACUCUCCUAUUGGUGUAAAAUUAUAUUUCAACUUUUGUUCCCUUCUAUACCCCUGUCUUGGAUGUGGGUUAUAAGGAACUUGAAUAUUUUGUGGAGGCUAGUGAAGAUUUUGUGACACUCGUGGUCGCCUUCUUGAGUGAUUUGGUGGCUGGACAACAUACUGAGGUGCAGCAACAGAGUAUUGAGGGUUCUGAGGUAGAUAAUAUUGCUCAGGGUUGUCAAGGAAAACCCGAGGAGGCCGAUCAUACCUUUGAGAUGUUCUUCUGGGACCUCUUCUCGACCGUGUUGUCACC